RNAcentral lists this long non-coding RNA (1787 nucleotides) under Canis lupus familiaris (dog). Its description in RNAcentral is "lncRNA (ENSCAFG00040022810.1)". The record is from RNAcentral. Lineage: Eukaryota; Metazoa; Chordata; Mammalia; Carnivora; Canidae.
AUGUUCACGAGCACGGCUCCACCCCACCCCAGCCAGACAAAUCCCUUCCCUCCUCCGACUCUGCUGAAUCAGGUUGGAAUUUCUCAAAAGCAAACAAACAGGCGAGCUCAGAGUUGCGGUUUUCAGAGCUCAGAUUCCUCCCGUCUGUCUGAGCCAGCAUCCAGCCCGGCCGGCCGCCCCCAGGCAGGCUGGACGGGGCCCCCAGCUGAGCCCCCCGGUCCCCGGCUGUUGGAGCGGAGUGGGGGUACCAGGCUCAGAGCUGACCCGCAGCACCGGGCCGCCCCACUUCCCUCUCGAGACCCCGCAAGCGAGGCAGGAGGCCGCGGACGGCGCCAAACACAAGGGACACCUGGCCUGGCCGGGAACCAGGAGGCCGAGAAGGGAAUCGGGGCCAGUCUGGCCCACACGUGGACAGCAGCGGUGAGCAGCAAGGCCGGUCCAAGCUGUUUCGGUAGGUGGCCUCAAAUGCUUCCACAAGAAGGUGGCACAUGGAUGGGGCUCAGCUCGCUCUGGUCAGCUGGAUCAGGGCUGAGAGCUGGGGAGUCAGCCUGCACUGGUGGGGGAAGGUGGAACUGGCCCCUUCAGCAGAGCGCCCAGAAGGUCCCCGAGGCCUCAGGUGUCGCUGCUCCCCUAAGCACCUCCGACAAGACCAAGACGACUGCUCAUCACUUUAGAGGAAAUGUUUGCGGAUUCUUCCCUACCAUCUGCUAAACCCAGCCACAGGCUGCCUUCAGGGGAGACUGCCCCUUCAGUCUGGGGAGCUGGAACGUGGAGCUACCCUAUAGAUGUCUGCAGGGCUGUCCCUGGGCGAAGGAAGCAGCCCGGGUCUAGGGGAGAAAUUUCUGGAAGGAGGUUUGUUGCUCCCAGAUGGAGAAGAGAAGUGAUGUUGUGCAGAGUGUCUGGGAGUCAAGCAAAGGAGGGGAGCAUUGGGAAGGGAGGAGGGGGCGGGGGACAUGGGGCCACUGCACUGGAUCUGAAGGGCAUUUUCCUGAUUCUAGCUUUGGGCUCCUGGCCUUCCUCCUGGGACCCUCGGCGGGAGUCUGUUCUCUGCCCGUCAGCUGCCCAGGGGCUGCCAACCUGGGGCCUGGAUGCUGAGGACCUUGGAGCCCACAUGUCCAUCGGCCCAGCGGGAGCCUGAGCCCUCCUCCCUCCCAGCCCAGGACUGGGGAAGUGAGGACUAACCAUGUUCUGGAUCAGGGCAUAAGGGCAGAGGUCUGAGGCUGGAGGACGUGUCCCAGGUCAGCCCAGGGGGGCCUCAGGGGCUAUUGUUGUGAGUAGCGGUCAUUGAUUGGUCGGUGCCCAGCAUUGUGUCAAUAAAUUGUACCUGUUAUAUACACACCUCACAAAGUGACGGUGGUCAUGGUGGAGGUGCCGAGGACGCUGCCCCAGCGCUUGGACACUGCCCUCUUGGUAUCACCUGUCACCUCCUCCAUUCUACAUGAGCUGCCUCUCUUAAUAUGGCCCCAAGUAUCCCUGGCUCUGAUCUUGAGGCUGGAUGUCUUCAAAGAAGUGCCCAGGCCCUUCCUGAGCUCCUGGCAGCACCCCGACCCCAUUCCACCCCACCAGUUGGUCUGUGGCCCGGACCUCGUCCCAGAAUAGCUCAUCGCAGCCAUACGCGACAGCCAGCAUCAAGCAUCUUGGAUUUCUGACAAAGGGACCCCCCACCUGGUGGCAGCUGACACCUGAGCCCACCCCACCCAGUGGCAAGGGGCAAGGGUGAGUGACCUGGCCGGAGACAGCUGCUGUGGGAACAGUCAGAAAAUCCCAAUGUCACUCGCCCUGGUUCU